Molecule: transfer RNA, 72 nt
Filed under: Camelus bactrianus (Bactrian camel)
Lineage: Eukaryota; Metazoa; Chordata; Mammalia; Artiodactyla; Camelidae
Also listed under: 1 other name
Rfam family: tRNA
About the family: Transfer RNA (tRNA) molecules are approximately 80 nucleotides in length. Their secondary structure includes four short double-helical elements and three loops (D, anti-codon, and T loops).
Source: Rfam by way of RNAcentral
GAGGAUAUAGCUCAGUGGUAGAGUGCAUACCUAGCAUGCACGAGGUCCUGGGUUCAAGCCCCAGUACCUGCA